Molecule: transfer-messenger RNA, 367 nt
Filed under: Pedococcus sp.
Lineage: Bacteria; Bacillati; Actinomycetota; Actinomycetes; Micrococcales; Intrasporangiaceae
Also listed under: 1 other name
Rfam family: transfer-messenger RNA
About the family: Bacterial tmRNA, also known as 10Sa RNA or SsrA, is named for its dual tRNA and mRNA-like properties.
Source: RNAcentral
GGGGGUGAUCGGUUUCGACAUUGGUCGGUUGUCCAGGGGAAGCGGGUCGAGGAUGCAAGGUCAUCUCGUCAACGCUCCUUGCAAACCAAUAGGUGCCAAUUCCAAGCGCACCGACUUCGCCCUCGCCGCCUGAGCGAGCCUCGAAGUCCGUCAGCCUGAGCUAGUUCCCGUCUCAGUGCCUGGCGUCAGCUAGGGAACUCGCUGCGCAGUCAUGCCGAGGGGCUGCGCGGGACUCCUACUCGGCUGGGCCUGUCAGCGGACGUGUGCGUGCGAGCGCUGGGGCCGAGAAAAUCCGUAGCGCACUGCACCCGGAGAAGCCCUGGUAAGUCGUCAGUGGACGCGGGUUCGAUUCCCGCCACCUCCACCA